CCACAUUGUGUCAAUGUGCUUUAUAUUUAACUUUCCUAUGUUUUUGUUUUAUUCAACGUCUGUGCGUAUGAAAUCAACGCUCUCUGAGUCGUAAGCGACGGUAUAAUUCAUCACAGAAGGCAGGACCAUUGCGAACCAUCGGUCACCAGGAACCAGGAAAUCAGACACGACUGGGAAGUCGUCCGGACCCCACGGAGUCGGGUCAUUCAUUGGAGGGGACGCUUCAACUGUUCGACGACGGUCAGUCAGAGGCCGGAGGAGUAGUGUGUUCACUCGACGAUCCGUUCACUCACCAGACACCACAACCGAUAAGAGAUACAAAGACGAGUACAUCGCUCCCUCUACCUGUCACUUCAUCGCCUUCUCCAAUGUUUGCUCUCCCUCCUGGGUCUUGGCCUUUGUGGGAGACAUCGACACAGGUUUCUACGGUACCACUGGGUCUACUAUCUGGAUCGUUCCCUGCCGAGGACUCGACAUCAGCAUCCGGCCACCCCACACCUCCUCCACCACCACCACCGUCAACAUCACCAACACCAACAGUGGUCUCAGACACCCUCCGGACAGCACCUCGGAUACAGCCGGCGACUUACGUCGCAUCACCCCUCAACCAUCCCCGGACUCUACCGCCAGCCCCCGAGAGCUCUGUCACAUCGCCCCAAAACCGACCCCAGACACCACCAUCACAGACCCAAUUGGCAUUCUAUGCUACAACGACUGUAAAACAACAGCUCGAAUGCCGAGUACGUACGCUUGAACGUCGUCUAGCACUUCAAGCACGUAGAUAUCGACGGUUGACGAGAAAUCUACGCGAAGAAAUCGUCAGGAAGGACAUCACAAAUAAAGCGCUGGUGUCUGAAAUCGUGAGGCUCCUAAAACUACAAGGACCUGGUGGUAGACGUCGUGGACUGACCUGAA
Synchiropus splendidus (mandarinfish) is the source of this 915-nucleotide long non-coding RNA. RefSeq lists it as uncharacterized. The transcript has 6 exons. NCBI's taxonomy places the organism in Eukaryota, Metazoa, Chordata, Actinopteri, Syngnathiformes, Callionymidae. The record is from RefSeq and is a predicted model, not a curated record.